This 547-nucleotide ribosomal RNA is filed under the name uncultured Glomeromycotina. RNAcentral describes it as "SSU rRNA". It matches the Rfam family "Eukaryotic small subunit ribosomal RNA", at positions 548 to 1098 of the family's 1831-position model. The record is from RNAcentral. Lineage: Eukaryota; Fungi; Glomeromycota.
UUGGAGGGCAAGUCUGGUGCCAGCAGCCGCGGUAAUUCCAGCUCCAAUAGCGUAUAUUAAAGUUGUUGCAGUUAAAAAGCUCGUAGUUGAAUUUCGGGAUCAAUAUGUUGGUCGUGCCUUGGUACGUACUAGUUUAUUGGUUUCUUCCUUCUGACGAACCAUGAUGUCAUUAAUUUGGUGUCUUGGGGAAUCAGGACUGUUACUUUGAAAAAAUUAGAGUGUUUAAAGCAGGCUCACGCUUGAAUACAUUAGCAUGGAAUAAUGAAAUAGGACGUUUGAUUCUAUUUUGUUGGUUUCUAGGAUCGACGUAAUGAUUAAUAGGGAUAGUUGGGGGCAUUAGUAUUCAAUUGUCAGAGGUGAAAUUCUUGGAUUUAUUGAAGACUAACUACUGCGAAAGCAUUUGCCAAGGAUGUUUUCAUUAAUCAAGAACGAAAGUUAGGGGAUCGAAGACGAUCAGAUACCGUCGUAGUCUUAACCAUAAACUAUGCCGACUAGGGAUCGGAUGAUGUUAAUUUUUUAAUGACUCAUUCGGCGCCUUACGGGAAAC